AUUGAACGCUGGCGGCAGGCCUAACACAUGCAAGUCGAGCGGAGGAACGCAGCUUGCUUCUGGAUUCAGCGGCGGACGGGUGAGUAAUGCCUAGGAAUCUCCCUGGUAGUGGGGGAUAACGUCCGGAAACGGGCGCUAAUACCGCAUACGUCCUGAGGGAGAAAGUGGGGGAUCGUCGGACCUCACGCUAUCAGAUGAGCUUGUGCCGGAUUUGCUAGUUGGUGGGGUAAAGGCCUACCAAGGCGGCGAUCCGUAACUGGUCUGAGAGGAUGAUCAGUCACACUGGAACUGAGACACGGUCCAGACUCCUACGGGAGGCAGCAGUGGGGAAUAUUGGACAAUGGGCGAAAGCCUGAUCCAGCCAUGCCGCGUGUGUGAAGAAGGUCUUCGGAUUGUAAAGCACUUUAAGUUGGGAUGAAGGUCAGUAAGUUAAUAACUUGCUGUUUUGACGUUACCAACAGAAUAAGCACCGGCUAACUUCGUG
This 484-nucleotide ribosomal RNA is filed under the name uncultured bacterium. Its description in RNAcentral is "partial 16S ribosomal RNA". It matches the Rfam family "Bacterial small subunit ribosomal RNA", at positions 30 to 507 of the family's 1533-position model. The record is from RNAcentral.